GGGUUGUGAGGUUAAGCGACUAAGCGUACACGGUGGAUGCCCUGGCAGUCAGAGGCGAUGAAGGACGUGCUAAUCUGCGAUAAGCGUCGGUAAGGUGAUAUGAACCGUUAUAACCGGCGAUUUCCGAAUGGGGAAACCCAGUGUGAUUCGUCACACUAUCAUUAACUGAAUCCAUAGGUUAAUGAGGCGAACCGGGGGAACUGAAACAUCUAAGUACCCCGAGGAAAAGAAAUCAACCGAGAUUCCCCCAGUAGCGGCGAGCGAACGGGGAGCAGCCCAGAGCCUGAAUCAGUGUGUGUGUUAGUGGAAGCGUCUGGAAAGGCGCGCGAUACAGGGUGACAGCCCCGUACACAAAAAUGCACAUGCUGUGAGCUCGAUGAGUAGGGCGGGACACGUGGUAUCCUGUCUGAAUAUGGGGGGACCAUCCUCCAAGGCUAAAUACUCCUGACUGACCGAUAGUGAACCAGUACCGUGAGGGAAAGGCGAAAAGAACCCCGGCGAGGGGAGUGAAAAAGAACCUGAAACCGUGUACGUACAAGCAGUGGGAGCACGCUUAGGCGUGUGACUGCGUACCUUUUGUAUAAUGGGUCAGCGACUUAUAUUCUGUAGCAAGGUUAACCGAAUAGGGGAGCCGAAGGGAAACCGAGUCUUAACUGGGCGUUAAGUUGCAGGGUAUAGACCCGAAACCCGGUGAUCUAGCCAUGGGCAGGUUGAAGGUUGGGUAACACUAACUGGAGGACCGAACCGACUAAUGUUGAAAAAUUAGCGGAUGACUUGUGGCUGGGGGUGAAAGGCCAAUCAAACCGGGAGAUAGCUGGUUCUCCCCGAAAGCUAUUUAGGUAGCGCCUCGUGAAUUCAUCUCCGGGGGUAGAGCACUGUUUCGGCAAGGGGGUCAUCCCGACUUACCAACCCGAUGCAAACUGCGAAUACCGGAGAAUGUUAUCACGGGAGACACACGGCGGGUGCUAACGUCCGUCGUGAAGAGGGAAACAACCCAGACCGCCAGCUAAGGUCCCAAAGUCAUGGUUAAGUGGGAAACGAUGUGGGAAGGCCCAGACAGCCAGGAUGUUGGCUUAGAAGCAGCCAUCAUUUAAAGAAAGCGUAAUAGCUCACUGGUCGAGUCGGCCUGCGCGGAAGAUGUAACGGGGCUAAACCAUGCACCGAAGCUGCGGCAGCGACGCUUAUGCGUUGUUGGGUAGGGGAGCGUUCUGUAAGCCUGUGAAGGUGUACUGUGAGGUAUGCUGGAGGUAUCAGAAGUGCGAAUGCUGACAUAAGUAACGAUAAAGCGGGUGAAAAGCCCGCUCGCCGGAAGACCAAGGGUUCCUGUCCAACGUUAAUCGGGGCAGGGUGAGUCGACCCCUAAGGCGAGGCCGAAAGGCGUAGUCGAUGGGAAACAGGUUAAUAUUCCUGUACUUGGUGUUACUGCGAAGGGGGGACGGAGAAGGCUAUGUUGGCCGGGCGACGGUUGUCCCGGUUUAAGCGUGUAGGCUGGUUUUCCAGGCAAAUCCGGAAAAUCAAGGCCGAGGCGUGAUGACGAGGCACUACGGUGCUGAAGCAACAAAUGCCCUGCUUCCAGGAAAAGCCUCUAAGCAUCAGGUAACAUCAAAUCGUACCCCAAACCGACACAGGUGGUCAGGUAGAGAAUACCAAGGCGCUUGAGAGAACUCGGGUGAAGGAACUAGGCAAAAUGGUGCCGUAACUUCGGGAGAAGGCACGCUGAUACGUAGGUGAAGCGACUUGCUCGUGGAGCUGAAAUCAGUCGAAGAUACCAGCUGGCUGCAACUGUUUAUUAAAAACACAGCACUGUGCAAACACGAAAGUGGACGUAUACGGUGUGACGCCUGCCCGGUGCCGGAAGGUUAAUUGAUGGGGUUAGCGCAAGCGAAGCUCUUGAUCGAAGCCCCGGUAAACGGCGGCCGUAACUAUAACGGUCCUAAGGUAGCGAAAUUCCUUGUCGGGUAAGUUCCGACCUGCACGAAUGGCGUAAUGAUGGCCAGGCUGUCUCCACCCGAGACUCAGUGAAAUUGAACUCGCUGUGAAGAUGCAGUGUACCCGCGGCAAGACGGAAAGACCCCGUGAACCUUUACUAUAGCUUGACACUGAACAUUGAGCCUUGAUGUGUAGGAUAGGUGGGAGGCUUUGAAGUGUGGACGCCAGUCUGCAUGGAGCCGACCUUGAAAUACCACCCUUUAAUGUUUGAUGUUCUAACGUGGACCCGUGAUCCGGGUUGCGGACAGUGUCUGGUGGGUAGUUUGACUGGGGCGGUCUCCUCCUAAAGAGUAACGGAGGAGCACGAAGGUUGGCUAAUCCUGGUCGGACAUCAGGAGGUUAGUGCAAUGGCAUAAGCCAGCUUGACUGCGAGCGUGACGGCGCGAGCAGGUGCGAAAGCAGGUCAUAGUGAUCCGGUGGUUCUGAAUGGAAGGGCCAUCGCUCAACGGAUAAAAGGUACUCCGGGGAUAACAGGCUGAUACCGCCCAAGAGUUCAUAUCGACGGCGGUGUUUGGCACCUCGAUGUCGGCUCAUCACAUCCUGG
This 2533-nucleotide ribosomal RNA is filed under the name Shigella flexneri. RNAcentral describes it as "partial 23S ribosomal RNA". It matches the Rfam family "Bacterial large subunit ribosomal RNA", at positions 1 to 2550 of the family's 2925-position model. Lineage: Bacteria; Pseudomonadati; Pseudomonadota; Gammaproteobacteria; Enterobacterales; Enterobacteriaceae. The record is from RNAcentral.